RNAcentral lists this ribosomal RNA (375 nucleotides) under Triticum aestivum (bread wheat). RNAcentral describes it as "partial small subunit ribosomal RNA". Lineage: Eukaryota; Viridiplantae; Streptophyta; Magnoliopsida; Poales; Poaceae. The record is from RNAcentral.
AUGGCUGGCUUCGAAGGUUUCAAGUUCUUUGAGAUCGUAAUUGAGAAAUCUUGCAGCAGGCAGAGGCUGCCUGACAAGUUUGCGAAGAUGCUCGCCGGCCGUGAGCCCCACAAAGUGAAGCUGCGGGAGGUCGGCAGCGGGCUUCGCAGGCUGUGGGACGUGUUGGUGGUGUUCGAUGGCGAAGGCCACAUGUACCUAGGGCCCGCCUGGGAUCAUUUCGCCCGCGCCCAUGAGCUACAGCUUGGGCACUUCCUUGUCUUCCGCUACGACGGCGACGCCAUGUUCACCGUGAAGAUGUUCGACAACACCAUGUGCCACAUGUACUACCAGCACGACCACGAUGCCACUAAGCAAUGGGAGCAGCAACGGGGAUGA